Ipomoea nil (Japanese morning glory) is the source of this 100-nucleotide small nucleolar RNA. The record is from Rfam. Lineage: Eukaryota; Viridiplantae; Streptophyta; Magnoliopsida; Solanales; Convolvulaceae.
GUACUUAGCAGUGACGAUAAAUGUUGAUCCCAGCUCAUUAUGAGGCCUUAUGUAGGCCUGGGAAUACAUUUGUUUCCAACACAUAUAUCUGAGCUUAUAU